This is a long non-coding RNA of Cucumis sativus (cucumber), 940 nucleotides long. RefSeq lists it as uncharacterized. The transcript is spliced from 3 exons. NCBI's taxonomy places the organism in Eukaryota, Viridiplantae, Streptophyta, Magnoliopsida, Cucurbitales, Cucurbitaceae. The record is from RefSeq and is a predicted model, not a curated record.
AAAUUUAUUUCCUUUCUUCUUCCUCCCGCGCGUAAACCCCUCUCUCCAUCUUUUUCUUCUUCUCCUUCCUGUACCCUAGCCGCACGCCUCCCUCUCUUCCCUUCCGUUCGCCGCAGCCCAGCCGCCGGCUGUCUCCCCUCUCCUUUCUCCUCUGUUUUCUGCACCGCCGCGCGACCUCUGUCUCCGUCGAAGCCAAGUCCAGCCGUACGCCGUCUCUCCAUCACAAAUCACUCUGUUUCGCGAAGCUCCGCCGCUCCACCUGCUAUCGACGUCGGCCGACUAGUUGCUGUAACCGUUCAGAUUUGCUGUAACCGUUCAGAUUCGCGGUUUGUUCGAGUCGGUCUCCAUCCGUGAAGCCCAACCGCCAAGUCUCCUUUAGCCGACCGUUGACCGACCCACACUUAGGAUUUUUAUUGCGAGUUCGACAGUCGUGCGUGGAGGUGCUGCCUCUGUUUUACAAUUUUAUCGAGGUUGCUUUGUUGGUGUUGGGAGUAAUGUUGGGUCCCUUAAAUUCACAACCAAUUUGUGAAUUGUUGAGGGUUCAGUUCGCCAAUACUUCGCUGAGUUGGAACUUACGUUGAGGAAAGUAAGUGAGAUAUGUAUCGUGAAAGUAAUCGAAUUUUGUAUUGUUAUGCUUAGAAUUGUUUCGUGGAGGAAAGUAAGUGAGAUAUGUAUCGUGAAAGUAAUCGAAUUUUGUAUUGUUAUGCUUAGAAUUGUUUCGUGGACGUUAGUUGAUUAAGGAGCUUCCCUAACUUUGAGGCAAAGGUAAUAAAGGCGGCAAACCGGCGAGGGGCAGGAAGGAAGCGUGACCGCCACAGGGGACACUUUAAAAUUUUGCUUCUGCUUAGUGAUUUAUAGUAUUAUUUGUAUUCGAACGUGAGACUGUUUAGAAAAUUUUGAGGUUUUAAAGUAUUCAAAGAUUUGAAACUUUAGUUUUAAA